RNAcentral lists this unclassified non-coding RNA (300 nucleotides) under uncultured Phaeomoniellales. Its description in RNAcentral is "sequence contains 5.8S rRNA gene, ITS2". The stretch from base 1 to 79 matches the Rfam family "5.8S ribosomal RNA", at positions 76 to 154 of the family's 154-position model. Lineage: Eukaryota; Fungi; Ascomycota; Eurotiomycetes; Phaeomoniellales. The record is from RNAcentral.
AGAGACAGGUGAGUCAUCGAAUCUUUGAACGCACAUUGCGCCCUUUGGUAUUCCGAAGGGCAUGCCUGUUCGAGCGUCAUUAUCAACCAUCAAGCCCGGCUUGUUAUUGGGUCUUUUUUAUCGGUUAGACGAUAGGCCUGAAAGAUAAUGGCGGCGUCAAGAUGAGACCCCAGGUGCAGCGAGCUAUAAGCAUACACUGAGGCGGUCGUCUUGGCCCGGUCUUAACUAUUUUAUUUUCUAAGGUUGACCUCGGAUCAGGUAGGAUUACCCGCUGAACUUAAGCAUAUCAAUAAGCGGAGG